UACGUAGGGGGCGAGCGUUAAUCGGAAUUACUGGGCGUAAAGCGCGCGCAGGCGGUCUGUUAAGACAGAUGUGAAAUCCCCGGGCUUAACCUGGGAACUGCAUUUGUGACUGGCAGGCUAGAGUAUGGCAGAGGGGGGUAGAAUUCCACGUGUAGCAGUGAAAUGCGUAGAGAUGUGGAGGAAUACCGAUGGCGAAGGCAGCCCCCUGGGCCAAUACUGACGCUCAUGCACGAAAGCGUGGGGAGCAAACAGG
RNAcentral lists this ribosomal RNA (253 nucleotides) under uncultured bacterium. RNAcentral describes it as "partial 16S ribosomal RNA". It matches the Rfam family "Bacterial small subunit ribosomal RNA", at positions 524 to 776 of the family's 1533-position model. The record is from RNAcentral.